This 831-nucleotide ribosomal RNA is filed under the name Micrococcus sp. LA_05. RNAcentral describes it as "bacterial SSU rRNA". It matches the Rfam family "Bacterial small subunit ribosomal RNA", at positions 566 to 1393 of the family's 1533-position model. Lineage: Bacteria; Bacillati; Actinomycetota; Actinomycetes; Micrococcales; Micrococcaceae. The record is from RNAcentral.
AGCUCGUAGGCGGUUUGUCGCGUCUGUCGUGAAAGUCCGGGGCUUAACCCCGGAUCUGCGGUGGGUACGGGCAGACUAGAGUGCAGUAGGGGAGACUGGAAUUCCUGGUGUAGCGGUGGAAUGCGCAGAUAUCAGGAGGAACACCGAUGGCGAAGGCAGGUCUCUGGGCUGUAACUGACGCUGAGGAGCGAAAGCAUGGGGAGCGAACAGGAUUAGAUACCCUGGUAGUCCAUGCCGUAAACGUUGGGCACUAGGUGUGGGGACCAUUCCACGGUUUCCGCGCCGCAGCUAACGCAUUAAGUGCCCCGCCUGGGGAGUACGGCCGCAAGGCUAAAACUCAAAGGAAUUGACGGGGGCCCGCACAAGCGGCGGAGCAUGCGGAUUAAUUCGAUGCAACGCGAAGAACCUUACCAAGGCUUGACAUGUUCUCGAUCGCCGUAGAGAUACGGUUUCCCCUUUGGGGCGGGUUCACAGGUGGUGCAUGGUUGUCGUCAGCUCGUGUCGUGAGAUGUUGGGUUAAGUCCCGCAACGAGCGCAACCCUCGUUCCAUGUUGCCAGCACGUAAUGGUGGGGACUCAUGGGAGACUGCCGGGGUCAACUCGGAGGAAGGUGAGGACGACGUCAAAUCAUCAUGCCCCUUAUGUCUUGGGCUUCACGCAUGCUACAAUGGCCGGUACAAUGGGUUGCGAUACUGUGAGGUGGAGCUAAUCCCAAAAAGCCGGUCUCAGUUCGGAUUGGGGUCUGCAACUCGACCCCAUGAAGUCGGAGUCGCUAGUAAUCGCAGAUCAGCAACGCUGCGGUGAAUACGUUCCCGGGCCUUGUACACACCCG